UAGGGAAUAUUAGAAAUGGACGAAAGUCUGAUCUAGCAACACCGCGUGUGCGAAGAAGGCCUUUGGGUCGUAAAGCACUUUUUGGAAGGAAUAGGAAGGAAUGUACUUCCAGAAUAAGUCUCGGCUAACUACGUGCCAGCAGCCGCGGUAACACGUAGGAGGCAAACGUUAUCCGGAUUUACUGGGCGUAAAGCGCGUGUAGGUGGUACUGUAAGUAGGGCGUGAAAGCUCCUGGCUCAACUGGGAGAGGCCGUUCUAAACUACAGAACUAGAGGAUGGUAGAGGGAGGUGGAAUUCCAGGUGUAGCGGUGGAAUGCGCAGAUAUCUGGAGGAACACAGGUGGCGAAGGCGGCCUCCUGGACCAUUCCUGACACUCAGACGCGAAAGCUAGGGUAGCAAACG
Molecule: ribosomal RNA, 402 nt
Filed under: uncultured bacterium
Lineage: Bacteria
Description: bacterial SSU rRNA
Rfam family: Bacterial small subunit ribosomal RNA
Source: RNAcentral